ACGGAAGGCAGCAGUAGGGAAUAUUGCACAAUGGGGGAAACCCUGAUGCAGCAACGCCACGUGUGGGAAGAAGCAUUUCGGUGUGUAAACCACUGUCGUGAGGGAAUAAUGCUUAAUUUCGGUUAAGUUGAAUGUACCUCGAAAGGAAGCGCCGGCAAACUUCGUGCCAGCAGCCGCGGUAAUACGAGGGGUGCAAGCGUUGUUCGGAAUCACUGGGCGUAAAGGGAGCGCAGGCGGAGAUGCAAGCAGUCUGUACAAUACCGGGGCCCAACCCCGGACCUGCAGACUGGACUGUUUCUCUUGGAUAGUUCAGGGGCAGGCGGAAUUCCUGGUGUAGCGGUGGAAUGCGUAGAGAUCAGGAAGAACACCGAUGGCGAAGGCAGCCUGCUGGGGACUUAUCGACGCUGAGGCUCGAAAGUGCGGGUAGCAAACAGGAUUAGAUACCCUGGUA
This 451-nucleotide ribosomal RNA is filed under the name uncultured Fibrobacter sp. RNAcentral's name for it is "partial 16S ribosomal RNA". It matches the Rfam family "Bacterial small subunit ribosomal RNA", at positions 341 to 792 of the family's 1533-position model. The record is from RNAcentral. Lineage: Bacteria; Pseudomonadati; Fibrobacterota; Fibrobacteria; Fibrobacterales; Fibrobacteraceae.